Molecule: ribosomal RNA, 967 nt
Filed under: Variovorax paradoxus
Lineage: Bacteria; Pseudomonadati; Pseudomonadota; Betaproteobacteria; Burkholderiales; Comamonadaceae
Description: bacterial SSU rRNA
Rfam family: Bacterial small subunit ribosomal RNA
Source: RNAcentral
UGCAAGUCGAACGGCAGCGCGGGAGCAAUCCUGGCGGCGAGUGGCGAACGGGUGAGUAAUACAUCGGAACGUGCCCAAUCGUGGGGGAUAACGCAGCGAAAGCUGUGCUAAUACCGCAUACGAUCUACGGAUGAAAGCAGGGGAUCGCAAGACCUUGCGCGAAUGGAGCGGCCGAUGGCAGAUUAGGUAGUUGGUGAGGUAAAGGCUCACCAAGCCUUCGAUCUGUAGCUGGUCUGAGAGGACGACCAGCCACACUGGGACUGAGACACGGCCCAGACUCCUACGGGAGGCAGCAGUGGGGAAUUUUGGACAAUGGGCGAAAGCCUGAUCCAGCCAUGCCGCGUGCAGGAUGAAGGCCUUCGGGUUGUAAACUGCUUUUGUACGGAACGAAACGGCCUUUUCUAAUAAAGAGGGCUAAUGACGGUACCGUAAGAAUAAGCACCGGCUAACUACGUGCCAGCAGCCGCGGUAAUACGUAAGGUGCAAGCGUUAAUCGGAAUUACUGGGCGUAAAGCGUGCGCAGGCGGUAAUGUAAGACAGUUGUGAAAUCCCCGGGCUCAACCUGGGAACUGCAUCUGUGACUGCAUUGCUGGAGUACGGUAGAGGGGGAUGGAAUUCCGCGUGUAGCAGUGAAAUGCGUAGAUAUGCGGAGGAACACCGAUGGCGAAGGCAAUCCCCUGGACCUGUACUGACGCUCAUGCACGAAAGCGUGGGGAGCAACAGGAUUAGAUACCCUGGUAGUCCACGCCCUAACGAUGUCACUGGGUGUUGGGGUCUCCACUGACUCAGUAACGAACUAACGCGUGAAGUUGACCGCCUGGGGAGUCGGCCGCAGGGUUGAAACUCCAAGGAAUUGACGGGGACCCGCACAACGGUGGAGGAGGGGGUUUAAUCCAUGCAACGCGAAAACCUUACCCACCUUUGACAUGUACGGAAUCUCCCAAAAUGGUUAUUGUCGAAAAAAACC